Non-coding RNA from Pelobates cultripes (western spadefoot toad), 516 nucleotides. Lineage: Eukaryota; Metazoa; Chordata; Amphibia; Anura; Pelobatidae. The record is from the annotation of a GenBank genome assembly.
CAAUAACUGGUUACUACACCUGGAUAAAAUAGCAACUUGUCCAUGUCCAGAUGCCUCACCACGGCUGUGCGGGGGGCUGGUAGACUGCCUUGGUGGGUUGCUGAGUGGGCAGAGACCAGCGGUACUCUGCCCGGGUGCCAGCGCUACCACUGAAGUAGCCUGGUUGGAGCCUGGUUGUAGGAGGGGGAGACCGACUGUCUCCCCUCUGGAUACACUGCUCUGUGGCUGGGGGACAGGACUGACCGUCCCUACCCCUGGUGCUGCAAGUGCAGAGACUACGGUCCCAUCUGCAUAGUUGUGGGGCUUAACAUCUCCCCUUGGUGGGUUAGGCUGCCACUGGAGAGAGGGUGUAACAAGCUCCUCUCUCUGAACUGUAGACUGCCGCUGGGGAGAGGGGGUAACCUGCUCCUCUCCCUGACACUCUCUUUGCUGGUGGAGAGGGGGACCAACUGUCUCUCCUUUCAAUAUUUUGUCCUGCUGCUGGGGAGAAAGACAGACUGUCUCCACUUCCUGCAG